Salvator merianae (Argentine black and white tegu) is the source of this 2290-nucleotide long non-coding RNA. NCBI's taxonomy places the organism in Eukaryota, Metazoa, Chordata, Lepidosauria, Squamata, Teiidae. The record is from Ensembl.
UGACACUGCAGGAAGGAACUUUGAAGCUAUCUGCAGAGACUUUGAAGACCUGGGCAGGAAAGUGAAGGAACUGGGAGCGCAAGUUGUCUUCUCUUCUAUCCUACCAGUGAAUGGCCGUGGAACAGGAAGAUGGAGAAGGAUUCUACAGGUAAACAACUGGCUACGUCGAUGGUGCUACCAGCAAGGAUUUGGAUUUCUAGACCAUGGACUAAACUACUUAUAUGAUGGACUCCUUGCAAGAGAUGGGCUCCAUCUUACAAAGACAGGAAAGCACAUAUUUGGCAGGAGACUGGCUGCACUCAUCAGGAGAGCUUUAAACUAGGGCGAAAGGGGAAGGGAAGUAAAAGUCCAGAGAAAGAUAAACAGCUAAUAAAUACAGAUAAGGAACUUGCUACCAGAAAUGAAAGGAAAGAACAAAGUCAAACAAUUUGGAAGGAAACUAAAGGAGUCAAGCUUGAAAGAGACAUUUGUCGCAAACUAAAAUGUUUCUAUACCAAUGCGCAAAGCAUGGGAAACAAACAAGGAGAACUGGAAAUCCUAGCACAGGAAAAUAAAUAUGAUAUCAUAGGCAUAACUGAAACUUGGUGGGAUAAUACGCAUGAUUGGAACACAGAGCUCGAAGGAUACAACUUAUUUAAAAAAAACAGGCUUAAUAAAAGGGGAGGAGGUGUUGCAUUGUAUGUAAGGAAAAUAUAUACCACCACAGAGAUUAAUCUUUCAGAUAAUGGAAGCCCUGUAGAAACCGUUUGGGUGAAAAUACAAGGAGAGAGCAACACAAAGGAUACUGUUGUAGGAGUUUAUUAUAGACCCCCUGGACAAACAGAAUAUAUGGAUGAACUAUUUAUAUAUCAGAUGGCCAAGCUCUCGGGGAAACACGACCUAGUCAUUAUGGGAGAUUUUAACUAUCCGGACAUUUGUUGGGAAUCUCUCUCUGGCAAAAGUCAUGGGUCCAAUAAAUUCUUAUCCUCUCUGGCAGAUAACUUCAUUUUCCAAAGGAUGGAGGAAAAAACAAGGGGGUGUGCUAUCUUGGACCUAAUCCUUACCAACAGGGAGGAAAUGGUUGAGGAAGUAAGGGUGACUGGGACCCUGGGUGGCAGUGACCAUGCUAUCAUUGAGUUUUGGAUAACAAAAGGAGGAAGAUCUGACAGGACUCGGACUUCAAGGUUAGAUUUCAGAGGAGCAGAUUUUGAUGGACUCAGAAGGAGGGUAGGAAGGAUCCAUUGGCUGGAUGUCUUAAAGGACAGAAAUGUCCAGGAAGGAUGGGAAAUUUUGAGAAAGGAGAUUCUAGAGGCACAAUCUUUAACAAUUCCUAAAAGAAAAAAAAAUGGCAAGCAUCUAAAGAGACCAGGGUGGAUGAACCCUGAACUUAAUAACUUGCUAAAAAGAAAAAAAGAAAUGUUUAAAAAAUGGAAAGAGGGGGACAUAUCAAAAGAAGAAUAUAAUGCAAUCUGCAGGAACUGCAGGAUAAGUGUCAGAAAGGCUAAAGCUAAAAAUGAAUUGAGGAUUGCAAGAGAGGCCAAAAACAAUAAAAAAGGCUUUUGGGGGUAUGUCAGAAGCAAAAGAAAAGUCAAAGAAGCUAUAGGACCUUUACAAAAUGGGAAGGGUGAUUUGGUCAAAAACGAUAUUCAGAAGGCAGAACUUCUGAACUCCUAUUUUGCAUCUGUUUUCUCUCAGAAAGGAAAGGAAACAUCAGUUGGCCUUCACUGUGCUGUUGAGGGAAUAAGAGAAUCAAGGCUCUGUAUGGACAAGGAGAAGGUGAGGGAACAGUUAGCAAACUUAAAUGUAUUCAAGUCUCCAGGCCCAGAUGAAUUACAUCCUAGGGUGCUGAAGGAAUUAGCUGAUAUAAUUGCUGAACCACUCUCCGUGAUAUUUGAGAACUCAUGGAUAACAGGAGAAGUCCCAGAAGAUUGGAGAAGGGCAAAUGUUGUACCUAUCUUUAAAAAAGGAAAGAAGGCUGACCCAGGCAACUACAGGCCUGUGAGCCUGACUUCAAUACCAGGCAAGAUAUUUGAACAAAUCAUUAAACAGCACAUAUGGGAGCACUUGGAUGGGAAUGCAGUAAUUAACCAAAGCCAACAUGGAUUUGUAACAAACAAGUCAUGCCAGACUAAUCUUAUUUCCUUUUAUGACAAAAUUACUGGAUGGAUCGAUCAAGGAAAGGCUGUGGACAUAGUAUAUCUUGACUUUAGCAAAGCAUUUGACAAGGUGUCUCAUACUAUACUGAUUGAAAAAAUGAUCAAAUAUGGGAUUGACAGGACAACUGUUAGGUGGAUUCAUAACUGGCUUAGUG